AGAGUACUCUCUACAUUUACAUCAAUUAAUUGUUUGGAUAACAUCCACUAUAAAUUAUGGUAUAAUAUGUGUUAGUGAAUCUCUGCAGAACAUAUACAUUUGCAAGAUGUGCCAUUUAUUAAAGACUCACUUUAUACAUUUUAUGGUUAACAGAAUGUGCAGUAAAUCCAGCUGACAGAGUGGACUGUGGAUACAGAGGGAUUACCCAGGCAGAUUGUGAAGGAAAAUACUGCUGCUUCGAUUCUACUAUCCCUCAAACUAAAUGGUGCUUCUAUAAACCGGCAGAAGCUCCAGCUAGGAAAGCAGAAUGUACAGUGGACCCCAGCUUGAGAAUUGACUGUGGAAACCCAGGGAUUACAGACAAAGACUGCAGGGUGAAGGGUUGCUGUUAUGAUGAAAGUAUUCCUGAAGUUAUAUGGUGCUUCCAAAAAGCAGUUCCGAGUUAGUUAAAUAUGAAAGCAACACAGGCACCUUAAUUGAUGGAAUACACAGAGAUAUCAUCAGAUCACAGAAAUUUACAAGUUUUGAUUUCAAAUGGAAUAUGUAAUCAAGGAUGUGUGUUGAUUAACUCCCAAUAAAAUAGUUCUGCAUA
Molecule: long non-coding RNA, 592 nt
Organism: Xenopus laevis (African clawed frog)
Lineage: Eukaryota; Metazoa; Chordata; Amphibia; Anura; Pipidae
Exons: 4
Source: RefSeq, a predicted model, not a curated record